UCCGAGAACUAUCUUCGGAUAUAGUAAACUGGCGAACGGGUGAGUACGCGUAAACAACUUGCCUCAGAGAUUGGGACAACAUUGGGAAACCAGUGCUAAUACCAAAUAAUGCAGCGGGCUCUUCGGAGCACAGUUGUUAAAGUAGGCUUCGGCUUACACUUUGAGAUAGGUUUGCGUCCGAUUAGUUAGUUGGUAGGGUAAAAGCCUACCAAGACCAAGAUCGGUAGCUGGUCUGAGGGGAUGAUCAGCCACACUGGAAUUGAGAUACGGUCCAGACUCCUACGGGAGGCAGCAGUAAGGAAUUUUGCACAAUGGGCGAAGGCCUGAUGCAGCAACGCCGCGUGAACGAUGAAGUUUUUAGGAAUGUAAAGUUCUGUCGUAUGGGAAGAGAUCUUUCGAAUGUUAAUACCAUUCGUUAAUGACGGUACCAUACAAGAAAGCACCGGCUAACUUCGUGCCAGCAGCCGCGGUAAUACGAGGGGUGCUAGCGUUGUCCGGAUUUACUGGGCGUAAAGGGUACGUAGGCGUUUUAAUAAGUUGUAUGUUACAUAUCUUAGCUUAACUAAGAAAAUGCAUCCAAAACUGUAAAAUAGAGUUUGAGAGAGGAACGCAGAACUCAUGGUGGAGCGGUGACAUGCGUAG
RNAcentral lists this ribosomal RNA (642 nucleotides) under uncultured bacterium. RNAcentral's name for it is "bacterial SSU rRNA". It matches the Rfam family "Bacterial small subunit ribosomal RNA", at positions 62 to 693 of the family's 1533-position model. The record is from RNAcentral.